GGAUUUGAUCAUGAUUUUGUGUUUGUUUAAAAAAAUAAACAUAUUUUUUAUUAUAUAGACACUUUAAAUAAUAGGGUGACUCGAGAGACUUGCUUGAAGGAUUUUAUCUAUCUAACUAAAUUACUGAUCGAAAGAAGAGAAUUGAGUUGUUAAAGGAUGCAAGGCAAAAGAAAGGUAGUAGAAGGGGUAGAAAGAAUGACAGAAGAUAAGUAGUAGGGAGAGUUCGUUCUCCAGGAGUGGAAAGGACCGUAUGAGUCACACCGAAGACAUUUUCUAGAGAUAGACCAAAAAAAAAGAAAAAAGUGCUUUUCAGGUCCAACUGGCCUGUCAAGUUCACGAAUAAGAUCACGCAGGUAAAAUUAACUUCUGACUGAGAGGCGGAGCUGCUGUUGCUGCUGCUGUUACUGCGUUCCACCGAGAUGAGUGCCCACAACUGUUUAAAAGCAAGAACUUGCAUGUCCAACAAUAACGUCCCUUACAUCCCUUCCUUCCUUCCUUCCUUUCUUUUCUUUUUUUUUUUUUUAUACCUUUUAUAUACACUUACUUUUCAACUAGGGAUGUAAAUAUGUAUGCUAAGUGAACGAGUUUGUGAGAAAAUUGGAAGAAGUAGGAGAAAAGCGUGAGAACUGUGCAUCGAAGUCAUGCUACGAUGAGUCAGGCCUGAGAAAUGCUGAGAAACAGGAGGGACAACGACCAAGAGACGAUGAAGAAGACUCGUUUUGUGAAUAAAAGGGCUGCACAUAUAUACUAUCAUCAUCAUUAUCAUCAUCAUCAUCACCAUAUCCAACUUCCACAUCUUUAACACUACCUCAUCCCUCCCUCUCUCUCUUUGCAAUCUUUUCCAUAUUGCAGUUGCGAAAAUUCAUGCAUUCAUACGCUCACAUACAUACACAGGUGUACGUGUAAGUUAAAGUUAAUUACCUGAAAAGUAGGCAACUUAUUUUGUAUUAUUUUAUAAGACAAAUAUAAGAUUAUAUUGAAAUGUGACAAAAAUAAUCGAGAAAUAUAUUUAGUUGUGGUGGAAUGAUAUAUUUAAGAUUAAAUUUCUGCAUCGUUAGACCGGUUUGUGAAAUUAUCAUUGGUUAUUUAUUCCUUAUCGUUAAUUAACAUGUGAUUUCAUCGUUACGUAUAUAUAUAUAUGUAUAUAUAAUCCUUGCGACUCGUUUUCACUUUCUAUUUCACGGAAUAAAAAGGAAGUCUCCUUCUCUUAAGUUUGCACCUUAUACACGGUGGGAUCGUAUUUACAUCGACACGCGCAUGUGCCCAUGUGAAAUGUUGCGCGUGCAACAACAACAACAACAACAACGUUUAUAUCGUAAAUACACUAUAAUAGUUCCCACGUGGAUUUUUAAAAAGCCUACUAGUAAAAAAAAGCUCCCAUCGAUAAAGGGGAAAUAAAUAAUUGAAAAAAUAAUGAUGUGUAUGUUCUCGCGAUGAUAGUUCAUCGAACUCGCCAUUUUGUCGCGAAUUUCCAACAGACAGCGCUGUUGUCGCUUAGAAUAACAUGGACCGAAAUAAAAUGAGAAUCCAAUAUUUAUAGGAUUACGAUUAAUUAUUAGAUUAUUGUUAAGUAAAUUAAUUAUGAAAAGAAAUUAAUUGCAUAUACACGUGAUAGAAAAAAAAAAUGAAACACAAAUGAUGAUGAUAAUUCGAUUAAUCUCGAUUUAUUUGGACAAAACGUUUGAACUAUAUGAAACUAUGAUUGCAUUAUGAUAGGAUUUCUCACGAAAGUUUGGCGGUCAAGCAACGGGACGAAGCCGUACCAGUCGGAACCGUUCGAUGAGAUAAUCGCAAAAGGGAGUGUCUACUGAUCAUUCUAAAAAUGGGCGUUACACGAUAUAAUCUCGUGAUUUCAUCCUUAUCCGUUAUAUUAACUGACAAUGAGAAAUAAAAAAAGAAGUAGUAUAUGCAUAUAUAUAGUUUCCUUUUUUAGUAACAAAUCCCCCUUGAACUUUGUUUAAACUCUUAGGCCAAGAAGAUGUGCACCACCACCAUCACCACCACCACAUUUGGAAACUCGCCAAAAGUUUGUACUCUUGAAAUAGUACGAACGUCGAA
RNAcentral lists this long non-coding RNA (2058 nucleotides) under Polistes canadensis. Its description in RNAcentral is "uncharacterized LOC106788128". The record is from RNAcentral. Lineage: Eukaryota; Metazoa; Arthropoda; Insecta; Hymenoptera; Vespidae.